GCAGUCGUGGCCGAGUGAUUAAGGCGAUGGACUAGAAAUCCAUUGGGGUCUCCCCGCACAGGUUCGAAUCCUGUCGACUGUG
Molecule: transfer RNA, 82 nt
Filed under: Ixodes scapularis (black-legged tick)
Lineage: Eukaryota; Metazoa; Arthropoda; Arachnida; Ixodida; Ixodidae
Rfam family: tRNA
About the family: Transfer RNA (tRNA) molecules are approximately 80 nucleotides in length. Their secondary structure includes four short double-helical elements and three loops (D, anti-codon, and T loops).
Source: Rfam by way of RNAcentral